GACGAACGCUGGCGGCGUGCUUAACACAUGCAAGUCGAACGGAAAGGCCCUGCUUUUGUGGGGUGCUCGAGUGGCGAACGGGUGAGUAACACGUGAGUAACCUGCCCUUGACUGUGGGAUAACUUCAGGAAACUGGGGCUAAUAUCGGAUAGGAGCUCCUGCUGCAUGGUGGGGGUUGGAAAGUUUCGGCGGUUGGGGAUGGACUCGCGGCUUAUCAGCUUGUUGGUGGGGUAGUGGCUUACCAAGGCUUUGACGGGUAGCCGGCCUGAGAGUGUGACCGGCCACAUUGGGACUGAGAUACGGCCCAGACUCCUACGGGAGGCAGCAGUGGGGAAUAUUGCACAAUGGGCCGAAGCCGGAUGCAGCAACGCCGCGUGCGGGAUGACGGCCUUCGGGUUGUAAACCGCUUUCGCCUGUGACGAAGCGUGAGUGACGGUAAUGGGUAAAGAAGCACCGGCUAACUACGUG
RNAcentral lists this ribosomal RNA (468 nucleotides) under uncultured bacterium. RNAcentral's name for it is "partial 16S ribosomal RNA". It matches the Rfam family "Bacterial small subunit ribosomal RNA", at positions 28 to 507 of the family's 1533-position model. The record is from RNAcentral.